Molecule: ribosomal RNA, 253 nt
Filed under: uncultured bacterium
Lineage: Bacteria
Description: partial 16S ribosomal RNA
Rfam family: Bacterial small subunit ribosomal RNA
Source: RNAcentral
AACGUAGGGGACAAGCGUUAUCCGGAUUUACUGGGCGUAAAGCGCCCGUAGGCGGCUUUUUAAGUUGGACGUGAAAGCUCCCGGCUUAACUGGGAGAGGCCGUUCAAAACUGGAAAGCUAGAGUAAGGCAGAGGAGCGCGGAAUUCCUGGUGUAGUGGUGGAAUGCGUAGAUAUCGGGAGGAACACCAGUGGCGAAAGCGGCGCUCUGGGCCAAAACUGACGCUGAGGGGCGAAAGCGUGGGGAGCGAACGGG